Molecule: ribosomal RNA, 483 nt
Filed under: uncultured bacterium
Lineage: Bacteria
Description: partial 16S ribosomal RNA
Rfam family: Bacterial small subunit ribosomal RNA
Source: RNAcentral
GACGAACGCUGGCGGCGUGCUUAACACAUGCAAGUCGAACGAUGAAGCCGGAGCUUGCUCCGGUGGAUUAGUGGCGAACGGGUGAGUAACACGUGAGCAAUCUGCCCUUGACUCUGGGAUAACUGCGGGAAACUGUAGCUAAUACCGGAUACGACACCUUGGGGCAUCCCAGGGUGUGGAAAGAAUUUCGGUCAAGGAUGAGCUCGCGGCCUAUCAGCUAGUUGGUGAGGUAAUGGCUCACCAAGGCGACGACGGGUAGCCGGCCUGAGAGGGUGACCGGCCACACUGGAACUGAGACACGGUCCAGACUCCUACGGGAGGCAGCGGUGGGGAAUAUUGCACAAUGGGCGAAAGCCUGAUGCAGCAACGCCGCGUGAGGGAUGAAGGCCUUCGGGUUGUAAACCUCUUUUAGCAGGGAAGAAGCGAAAGUGACGGUACCUGCAGAAAAAGCACCGGCUAACUACGUGCCAGCCGCCGCCGUAA